UGAGCAAUCUGCCCUUCACAUCGGAAUAACCAUUGGAAACGAUGGCUAAUACCGAAUAUGACUUCGGAUCGCAUGAUCUGAAGUGGAAAGCUCCGGCGGUGAAGGAUGAGCUCGCGGCCUAUCAGCUUGUUGGUGAGGUAAUAGCUCACCAAGGCGAUGACGGGUAGCCGGCUGAGAGGGUGACCGGCCACACUGGGACUGAGACACCGGCA
This 212-nucleotide ribosomal RNA is filed under the name uncultured bacterium. Its description in RNAcentral is "partial 16S ribosomal RNA". It matches the Rfam family "Bacterial small subunit ribosomal RNA", at positions 118 to 332 of the family's 1533-position model. The record is from RNAcentral.